UCACUCUCAGAUGUGAGAUUAAGGGAGGUGAAGGAAAGGUGUGGAAAUAUGAAUGGACAGCACCCAACACAAACAGCCCUCCAACAUCCAGUGAAUACAGGAUCAGCAGAGUUUCAGUGUCCCACAGUGGAGACUACAGAUGUCGGGGUAGCAGUGACUAUCUCUUAACAGGAUGGAGUGAUGCCUUCAGAGUGACAGUUUCAGCAAGUAAACCCAGAGCCACACUGACAGCACACAGUUCAGUCAUACCAGCAGGGGGCAGUGUGACACUGAGCUGCUCUGUGGAGGACUCUGCUGGCUGGAAGUUUGACUGGUUCAGACGUGAUUCACAGUUUUCUGGAGCUCAGAAAAUAGGAGCUGGAACAUCAGAGCACACUAUCAGUAUUUCAGAAGGAGGCAUCUAUUACUGCAGAGGAGGGAGAGGAGAUCCAGUUUUCUCCACAGAGGACAGUGCUCCAGUUACAAUUCAGAAAAAAGUUUUGGCUGCUGUGAAACUGCAGCACAGCUGGUCUCAGAU
Oreochromis niloticus (Nile tilapia) is the source of this 517-nucleotide long non-coding RNA. RefSeq lists it as uncharacterized. The transcript is spliced from 3 exons. The record is from RefSeq and is a predicted model, not a curated record. NCBI's taxonomy places the organism in Eukaryota, Metazoa, Chordata, Actinopteri, Cichliformes, Cichlidae.